AUCGAACGCUGGCGGAAUGCUUUACACAUGCAAGUCAAACGGCAGCACGGACUUCGGCCUGGUGGCGAGUGGCGAACGGGUGAGUAAUGUAUCGGAACGUGCCCAGUCGUGGGGGAUAACGUAGUGAAAAUUACGCUAAUACCGCAUACGAUUUAUGGAUGAAAGCGGGGGAUCGCAAGACCUUGCGCGAUUGGAGCGGCCGAUAUCAGAUUAGGUAGUUGGUGGGGUAAAGGCCCACCAAGCCAACGAUCUGUAGCUGGUCUGAGAGGACGACCAGCCACACUGGAACUGAGACACGGUCCAGACUCCUACGGGAGGCAGCAGUGGGGAAUUUUGGACAAUGGGCGAAAGCCUGAUCCAGCCAUUCCGCGUGCAGGAUGAAGGCCCUCGGGUUGUAAACUGCUUUUGUACAGAACGAAAAGGUUUCUACUAAUACUAGGAGCUCAUGACGGUACUGUAAGAAUAAGCACCGGCUAACUACGUGCCAGCCGCCGCCGUAA
Molecule: ribosomal RNA, 500 nt
Filed under: uncultured bacterium
Lineage: Bacteria
Description: partial 16S ribosomal RNA
Rfam family: Bacterial small subunit ribosomal RNA
Source: RNAcentral